Anolis carolinensis (green anole) is the source of this 491-nucleotide long non-coding RNA. RefSeq lists it as uncharacterized. The record is from RefSeq and is a predicted model, not a curated record. The transcript is spliced from 3 exons. NCBI's taxonomy places the organism in Eukaryota, Metazoa, Chordata, Lepidosauria, Squamata, Anolidae.
AGGAAGGUGUUCCGCGAAGCGUUCUGCGCCAAGAUGUUUGUGGCCAACUUGAACAACUCCUCGGUCCACAACUGGAAAGGAAAACGGAUGGGGAAAAAGGAUGAAGAGAAAGGGGUGACAGAACAGAAAUGCCUCAGAUCCUGCUCUGGGAGAAAAGUGGCAUCGAAAGAAAGGAAGAGCAACCGGAGUUGCUUCUGAAGUGAGAGAAUUGGCUGUCUGCAAGGACGUUGCCCAGGGGACGCCCGGAUGUUUUGAUGUUUUUACCAUCCUUGUGGGAGGCUUCUCUCAUGUCCCCGCAUGGAGCUGGAGCUGAUAGAGGGAGCUCAUCCACACUCUCCCCAGAUGGGAUUCGAACCUGGCAGCUUUCAGGUCAGCAACCCAACCUUCAAGUCACUUAGUCCACUAUGCCAUCUGGGGGCUCUCUCUCUGUUGGGUGAGAAGGGCGGGAUAUAAAUAUUGUAAUAAAUAAAUAAUAAAUUACACAGAGAGAG